This is a long non-coding RNA of Mustela lutreola (European mink), 1407 nucleotides long. RefSeq lists it as uncharacterized. The transcript has 2 exons. Lineage: Eukaryota; Metazoa; Chordata; Mammalia; Carnivora; Mustelidae. The record is from RefSeq and is a predicted model, not a curated record.
UACAAGUUAUACUAGUACUCAUGUAUUUACUGGGGGAAAAAAUCCUCUCCAAGUUGUUCUUAAAAUGUUUUCCUGAAAUUAUGUUUUACAAUUUAACUAGACCUUUCUUCAAAGAGCUUCCCACUAAUUAUCUCCUCAUAAAUGGAUCAGCUUCAUAGUGUUCUAGAAAAUGAGAGCAAAUUUGGGAGUGGUUUUUAAAUGCUCUUAUAUUCCAAAAUGUAUCAUUUUGAUGAUUACAUGGUUUUAAACAACAAACUACAUCUAGUUAAUAGUAUUGUAACAAUAUGUAUCAUUUUGCAAAAGCUUUCAUAUUCCAAAUCCAUCAUUUUAGUAAUACAGGCCAAAGGACAUGGAUAGUGGUUUUGCCAAAUGAAGUUAAUGGUUAUGAAAUAGGCAUAUAGACGUGAAUCACAUUUUUAUCUUUUUUUCUCACUCAUUUUCCUUGUAAAGAUUUUAUUUAUUUGACAGAGAGAGAGACACAAUCAGGAGGAGCAGCAGGCAGAGGGAGAGGGAGAAGCAGACUCCCUGCUGAGCAGAGAGCCCUACAGCAUGGGCCUUGAUCCCAGGACCCUGGGAUCAUGACCUGAGCCAAAGGCAGACACUUAACUGACUGAGCCAUCCAGGUGCCCCUUCUGACUCAUUUUUUACUUUCAUCUAAAAAAAGGGGAAGUCUCCUAAUUGAAAAACUCUGUCUUUAUUCUUUUUAUUUUCUCUAUUCUUUCAUAUCUAAGGAUCUUUAAAAAAGAGCUUUUAAGUGGUUUCUUUAUAACCUAUGGAUAUAGAUUCAUAUAAAAGAUCCUGCUUCUGUUUUUUAUUAGUGGCUAGAAAGCCCUUGACCAAAUUUGAGGCCCAUGUCUUACACAUCUCACUGUAGACAUUUAGGGCCUUUACUAUUUCUUUCUUCUCUUUUCUUUCCUUUUUUUCUUUUCUUUUUUUUUUUUUUUUUUUUUUUUUUUAGUUAGAUAAGGCAGAGUCAGUGAUUAGAGCAGGAAAAAAUUAAUACAAAAUGAUCAAUACCAAGAUAUCCAGAUGACAUUACUAAAAUAUGAAGAAUUAAGUAUCAGAUGAACAUCUAUGCAGAAAAAGCAAGUCAUAUGUAAGACGAAAAGACUGGCCAUAUACAGCUCUUGAGGACAACACUUCAACGCCAAAAGACAGUGAAGCAAUGUUCUUCAGUUUCUGAGAAGUGUGAUGCAAGACCUUUAUGUCCCGCCAAAUUGAUCUUCAAAAACAAAUGUAACAAACAGGACUAUGCUGAAAACCUGAAGUGGGAACAGGUGCACCAGAGCAAGAGAGGAGGCCUGCUUCCCAGCUGAAUCCUGUGGGCCCCGGUGUGCACAGCAGCUCUCCCUAGCCCACAGAGAGUCUUGUUUGUUCUCCCUGACUAUUAAAAUGGCAGUAAGUGUA